GGGUUGUGAGGUUAAGCGACUAAGCGUACACGGUGGAUGCCCUGGCAGUCAGAGGCGAUGAAGGACGUGCUAAUCUGCGAUAAGCGUCGGUGAGGUGAUAUGAACCGUUAUAACCGGCGAUUUCCGAAUGGGGAAACCCAGUGUGUUUCGACACACUAUCAUUAACUGAAUCCAUAGGUUAAUGAGGCGAACCGGGGGAACUGAAACAUCUAAGUACCCCGAGGAAAAGAAAUCAACCGAGAUUCCCCCAGUAGCGGCGAGCGAACGGGGAGGAGCCCAGAGCCUGAAUCAGUGUGUGUGUUAGUGGAAGCGUCUGGAAAGGCGCGCGAUACAGGGUGACAGCCCCGUACACAAAAAUGCACAUACUGUGAGCUCGAUGAGUAGGGCGGGACACGUGGUAUCCUGUCUGAAUAUGGGGGGACCAUCCUCCAAGGCUAAAUACUCCUGACUGACCGAUAGUGAACCAGUACCGUGAGGGAAAGGCGAAAAGAACCCCGGCGAGGGGAGUGAAAAAGAACCUGAAACCGUGUACGUACAAGCAGUGGGAGCCUCUUAAUGGGGUGACUGCGUACCUUUUGUAUAAUGGGUCAGCGACUUAUAUUCUGUAGCAAGGUUAACCGAAUAGGGGAGCCGAAGGGAAACCGAGUCUUAACUGGGCGUUAAGUUGCAGGGUAUAGACCCGAAACCCGGUGAUCUAGCCAUGGGCAGGUUGAAGGUUGGGUAACACUAACUGGAGGACCGAACCGACUAAUGUUGAAAAAUUAGCGGAUGACUUGUGGCUGGGGGUGAAAGGCCAAUCAAACCGGGAGAUAGCUGGUUCUCCCCGAAAGCUAUUUAGGUAGCGCCUCGUGAAUUCAUCUCCGGGGGUAGAGCACUGUUUCGGCAAGGGGGUCAUCCCGACUUACCAACCCGAUGCAAACUGCGAAUACCGGAGAAUGUUAUCACGGGAGACACACGGCGGGUGCUAACGUCCGUCGUGAAGAGGGAAACAACCCAGACCGCCAGCUAAGGUCCCAAAGUCAUGGUUAAGUGGGAAACGAUGUGGGAAGGCCCAGACAGCCAGGAUGUUGGCUUAGAAGCAGCCAUCAUUUAAAGAAAGCGUAAUAGCUCACUGGUCGAGUCGGCCUGCGCGGAAGAUGUAACGGGGCUAAACCAUGCACCGAAGCUGCGGCAGCGACACUAUGUGUUGUUGGGUAGGGGAGCGUUCUGUAAGCCUGUGAAGGUGUAC
RNAcentral lists this ribosomal RNA (1228 nucleotides) under Escherichia coli. RNAcentral describes it as "partial 23S ribosomal RNA". It matches the Rfam family "Bacterial large subunit ribosomal RNA", at positions 1 to 1261 of the family's 2925-position model. Lineage: Bacteria; Pseudomonadati; Pseudomonadota; Gammaproteobacteria; Enterobacterales; Enterobacteriaceae. The record is from RNAcentral.